RNAcentral lists this unclassified non-coding RNA (256 nucleotides) under Hevea brasiliensis (rubber tree). Lineage: Eukaryota; Viridiplantae; Streptophyta; Magnoliopsida; Malpighiales; Euphorbiaceae. The record is from RNAcentral.
GUCCAUUGGAUGUGUUGGUUCUAUCUUGUAAAUGUAUGCUUGGAAGUCUGAAAAUAACCUUUGUAUUCUGUAGCUUGAACACAUGGGGAUCCUUCAGAUAAAGCAAUAUGUCAUUAAUUAGGUCUCUUUUUUAUUGCUAGCAACUUACAUUAUAAGGUAGAUUGGCUCGUUAAGGCGCUCGCGCGCACACAUACACACACUAUUAAGUACAUAGGACAUUGGUUAUCAGGUUCAACCUUAUCAUACUUCAGUGUCA